AUCUCGCUCCAACCGCUCAGAAAAGGCUUUAAUGUCUUUAAAGGCAGCCUUUCUCUGGCGAGUCUGAGAAUGACA
Molecule: regulatory RNA element, 75 nt
Organism: Sporolactobacillus laevolacticus DSM 442
Lineage: Bacteria; Bacillati; Bacillota; Bacilli; Caryophanales; Sporolactobacillaceae
Source: Rfam